This 724-nucleotide ribosomal RNA is filed under the name Geopora cooperi f. gilkeyae. RNAcentral's name for it is "partial large subunit ribosomal RNA". It matches the Rfam family "Eukaryotic large subunit ribosomal RNA", at positions 76 to 814 of the family's 3401-position model. Lineage: Eukaryota; Fungi; Ascomycota; Pezizomycetes; Pezizales; Pyronemataceae. The record is from RNAcentral.
UGCCUUAGUAACUGCGAGUGAAGCGGCAAAAGCUCAAAUUUGAAAUCGGUGUCCAUAAAGUACAUCGAGUUGUAAUUUGGAGGGACAACUUCGGGCCGAACCACACCGUAAGUUUUUUGGAACAGGACAUCAUAGAGGGUGAGAAUCCCGUGUCUUGGUGUAGGGUCAAACCAUGUGAAGUGUCUCCGACGAGUCGAGUUGUUUGGGAAUGCAGCUCAAAAUGGGUGGUAAAUUUCAUCUAAAGCUAAAUAUUGGCGAGAGACCGAUAGCGCACAAGUAGAGUGAUCGAAAGAUGAAAAGCACUUUGAAAAGAGAGUUAAAAAGUACGUGAAAUUGUUGAAAGGGAAGCGCUUGCGACCAGACUCGAUCUUUGGAGAUCAGCCGGGCUUCGGUUCGGUGCCCUCUUCAUUGAUUGGGCCAGCAUCGGUUCCGGCGGUGGGAUAAAAGGAGGAGGAAUGUGGCUCCCCUCGGGGAGUGUUAUAGCCACCUUCACAAUGCUACCAGUUGGGACCGAGGACCGCGCUUCGGCUAGGAUGCUGGUGUAAUGGUCUUAAGCGACCCGUCUUGAAACACGGACCAAGGAGUCUAACAUCUAUGCGAGUGUUCGGGUGGAAAACCCUUGCGCGUAAUGAAAGUGAACGGAGGUGUGAACCCUUUGCCGGGUGCAACAUCGACCGGUCCUGAUGUCUUCGGAAGGAUCUGAGUAAGAGCAUAGCUGUUGGGA